This 118-nucleotide ribosomal RNA is filed under the name Triticum aestivum (bread wheat). Lineage: Eukaryota; Viridiplantae; Streptophyta; Magnoliopsida; Poales; Poaceae. The record is from RNAcentral.
GGAUGCGAUCAUACCAGCACUAAAGCACCGGAUCCCAUCAGAACUCCGAAGUUAAGCGUGCAUGGGCGAGAGUAGUACUAGGAUGGGUGACCUCCUGGAAGUCCUCGUGUUGCAUUCC